GCGCCGCUGGAGGAUCGGCACGACGUGGUCGACGAAGGCGGUCAGCCCGGUCGGCAGGACGGGCGCCAUGAUGUUGAAGCCGUCCGCGGCGCCC
This 94-nucleotide transfer RNA is filed under the name Streptomyces sp. ADI95-16. RNAcentral describes it as "tRNA-Phe". The record is from RNAcentral. Lineage: Bacteria; Bacillati; Actinomycetota; Actinomycetes; Kitasatosporales; Streptomycetaceae.